GCCUGGGUGGCUCAGUCGGUUGAGCGUCCGACUUCGGCUCGGGUCAUGAUCUCACAGUCUGUGAGUUCGAGCCCCACGUCGGGCU
Molecule: transfer RNA, 85 nt
Filed under: Felis catus (domestic cat)
Lineage: Eukaryota; Metazoa; Chordata; Mammalia; Carnivora; Felidae
Also listed under: 1 other name
Rfam family: tRNA
About the family: Transfer RNA (tRNA) molecules are approximately 80 nucleotides in length. Their secondary structure includes four short double-helical elements and three loops (D, anti-codon, and T loops). Further hydrogen bonds mediate the characteristic L-shaped molecular structure. tRNAs have two regions of fundamental functional importance: the anti-codon, which is responsible for specific mRNA codon recognition, and the 3' end, to which the tRNAs corresponding amino acid is attached (by aminoacyl-tRNA synthetases). tRNAs cope with the degeneracy of the genetic code in two manners: having more than one tRNA (with a specific anti-codon) for a particular amino acid; and 'wobble' base-pairing, i.e. permitting non-standard base-pairing at the 3rd anti-codon position.
Source: Rfam by way of RNAcentral